Molecule: ribosomal RNA, 236 nt
Filed under: uncultured bacterium
Lineage: Bacteria
Description: partial 16S ribosomal RNA
Rfam family: Bacterial small subunit ribosomal RNA
Source: RNAcentral
CCAGGCCUACGGGGCACAGCAGUAGGGAAUCUUCCACAAUGGACGAAAGUCUGAUGGAGCAACGCCGCGUGAGUGAAGAAGGGUUUCGGCUCGUAAAGCUCUGGUGGUAGUGAAGAAAGAUAAAGGUAGGUACUGGCCUUUAUUUGACGGUAAAUACUUAGAAAGUCACGGCUAACUACGUGCCAGCAGCCGCGGUAAUACGUAGGUGGCAAGCGGUGUUCGGAUUUAUUGGGCGU